GACUAAGAAUUAAUUUAUUUACUAACUAAUCCUAAUUUAGUUAGGAUUAAAUCAGAUUUAAAUUAGAUUUAAAUUAGCAAACAAAUGAAUCUUAGUUAGACUAGGAUUUCUCCUUGGUGCCACCUCUCUCCUCAUGGUUAUACCCAAUGCCAAAUUUGAUUUGGUAUAUGGUUAGAUUAGCUCAAGCACCUCCAUGCCACCUCUUUUAUGUCCAUUUUUGGUUGAGAUUAAAUCUGAUUUGAUCUGAUUUUGAUUAGAUCAAAAUAGGACUCCCAGCUU
Molecule: long non-coding RNA, 279 nt
Filed under: Elaeis guineensis (African oil palm)
Lineage: Eukaryota; Viridiplantae; Streptophyta; Magnoliopsida; Arecales; Arecaceae
Description: long non-coding RNA (EGUI_LNC037502)
Source: RNAcentral